GUAGGUGGCAAGCGUUGUCCGGAAUUAUUGGGCGUAAAGCGCGCGCAGGGCGGCCCUUUAAGUCUGAUGUGAAAGCCCACGGCUCAACCGUGGAGGGUCAUUGGAAACUGGGGGACUUGAGUACAGAAGAGGAAAGCGGAAUUCCAAGUGUAGCGGUGAAAUGCGUAGAGAUUUGGAGGAACACCAGUGGCGAAGGCGGCUUUCUGGUCUGUAACUGACGCUGAGGCGCGAAAGCGUGGGGAGCAAACAGGAUUAGAUACCCUGGUAGUCCACGCCGUAAACGAUGAGUGCUAAGUGUUAGGGGGUUUCCGCCCCUUAGUGCUGCAGCUAACGCAUUAAGCACUCCGCCUGGGGAGUACGGCCGCAAGGCUG
This 372-nucleotide ribosomal RNA is filed under the name uncultured organism. RNAcentral's name for it is "partial 16S ribosomal RNA". It matches the Rfam family "Bacterial small subunit ribosomal RNA", at positions 527 to 896 of the family's 1533-position model. The record is from RNAcentral.